CGUCCUUAAAAUGUCUCCGGGCUUAAGUGUGUCACAGCCUUUUAGAGACUGAUUUAAGGGAGCGGAAUUACCACUGGUUAUUUACCAAUCAAAAGUUGCACUACAAGAGUCAGCCAAUCCUAAAUCCCUAGAUGCACUUCCGCAAAUUCCGACGGAAGUCUGAGUUGAGCUGGCCAGGGUCCAAUCAGAGCGAAGUAUUUCCAGCAUAAAUAGCAGCGGCGCUAGAGCACGACACCGGAAUUUUCCUCUACCGCAUUUGCAAUGGCCCGUACCAAGCAAACGGCUCGCAAGUCCACCGGCGGCAAGGCUCCGCGCAAGCAGCUGGCCACUAAGGCCGCCCGCAAGAGCGCCCCGGCCACCGGCGGCGUGAAGAAGCCCCACCGCUACCGUCCGGGCACCGUGGCUCUGCGCGAGAUCCGGCGCUACCAGAAGUCCACCGAGCUGCUGAUCCGCAAGCUGCCGUUCCAGCGCCUGGUGCGCGAGAUCGCUCAGGACUUCAAGACCGACCUUCGCUUCCAGAGCUCGGCCGUCAUGGCUCUGCAGGAAGCGAGCGAGGCCUACCUUGUGGGUCUGUUUGAGGACACCAACCUGUGCGCCAUCCACGCCAAGCGUGUGACCAUCAUGCCCAAGGACAUCCAGCUGGCUCGCCGUAUCCGCGGUGAAAGAGCUUAAAAAUUGAAACUUGAACCUGUGUCUGUAAUGUCAAGGUGAUAUGAAAAGACAGCAGAAGGAUUCAAAAAUGUCAAAGGCCUGAAGCAUUCUACCUGAGCCAGUCAUGUGACAACACCUAGACUACAGCAACUAAGCAAACAAAUCAUGGGCAGAUCAUGUAUCAAUAUUCCUUCCCACAAAGUGAAGUUUAACUGUGGUCUUAGAAUAAAGAAUAUGCAGUUCCCCUGUAAUCAUGACCCUAUCAGUGUUUUAUUACUGAAGAAUAAAAUGUUUAAAUUACCCAUGGGCUGGAGUCCAAAGGUUCCUUUGCUAUGUAAAACUACAAGACAACUUCAUCUGUUAACACAUCUUUUGUUAUCAUGGCAUUUUCCAUGACAUUAACCCUCAAUGAUGGGUAAGAAAAGAGAUAGUCCAUAAAUAGUCAACAGCUUUUUCUCACAGAAAUAGUAGCAAAAAUGCAAGAAAAUUCAAAAAUACCAUUUUGUUAUUUUCCUGCAUUUUCUAAUCCAUCUAUACACAGU
Molecule: RNA transcript, 1193 nt
Organism: Rattus rattus (black rat)
Lineage: Eukaryota; Metazoa; Chordata; Mammalia; Rodentia; Muridae
Gene name: histone H3-like
Exons: 3
Source: RefSeq, a predicted model, not a curated record